UUUGAUCAUCCAAUGGGUGGCUUAACGAUCCCUUGUCCUGAAGAUACUUUCAUCAAUGUUACUUCUCGGCUUCAUUGAUGAUUAUCCAUCAUAUUGUUCAUCUAAUUAGAGAUAGACUUGUACCUUGUAAAUAGAGGAUUUUUUCUCUUCUUCUUGAAAGAGUUGUUCUAUAAUUUUUGGAAAGUGAAUGACAUAGACACAAUUCGCUCAAUAAUCUUUAAUGUCUUGUGCUCUUAUUUGAUCAUCACUUUAUUCGGUGUGUCUCUGCAUUCAACAUAAAUCAUUUUUGAAAAUAUGGAAAAAAAACACUAAUCAGAUUAUCAUUACAAAGCAUGGAGAACAAAACCAUGUUGCUUCUGAAACACAAAAACUGAGUGAAACUCUUUGUUGAGAAAAAAAAAACUAUGUGAAACUCUUUUCUUUGAAUAUCACAAGUUUCAACUUUGUAAGAACGUUCUUUUAGCUCCAAAAUAAUGAUCUAGUCAUCAAACAGAGUUAAUCUUCUACAGAGAGUUUGUUGCAGAGAAUAUGAAAUUCAGUGUAAAUUCGGUAUUUAAUCAUACAAAACAUUAAGGAAAAUUUUCAAUAUAAUCAACAAAUUUUGUUUGUCAAUCGGGUUAGAUGUGUAAUGCGUUCACUGAAUGAUUACUCUGUCUUUCUUCUAGCACUUUUCAUGUGCUCCAGUGAAACCUGAACACUGAGCGGAUGGAGCCAUACCGAAGCUGUAAACAUCUGUCUUAAACAUCUAGCAAUUUGAUUGUGCAGUGAGAUCACUGAGAUGGUAAUCUUCAGAUUAAAAGCUAACUUGUAAUAAGAUAAGAAUAUUACUGAAGAUAUAACAUACUACCCAUAUGGCCAUAUAUUGGUUUGUGUCUGAAAACAGAUAUGGAUACAUAGACAAUUGUGUAAGCAAGAAUGAUGAAAUUUUUAUCAUUGAAUAACCAUUGCUUUACAGAGAAAUAUGGAAUACACAUUUGAGCUUUGUAAUCUCUUGAAUAACUUUCUUUCACAAAGAAAGAAGAAAAAGUUAACAUAUUUUUUUAAAAAAAAUGGUAAAACAGUUAACAUAUUUACAUUGAAUAAUUCUAACUCGGGCAAACUAAUGUCAGAUCUUUAUUCUUCUAGAACAUUACUGAAACCGGAAAGUCACACUGGUGAAGGUAUCUUCAGGACAAGGGAUUGUCAAGCCACCCUUUGGAUGAUCAAAUCCAAAUACUUCCUCGGAUUUAUUGAGAAGAGCUUGAAAAGAAGGCUGGUUUAGAUAUGAGACUGGCACCAAAAAUCUCUUCUUCUGGACCUGGUCUUCCCCAACGUACACCACAAGAAACCCCUUUGGAGCUGAAACUGUCUUUUUGCUUGUAGCCGCUACAGAUACGCCAAUAAUCCUCUUGGCCACCCAAGAGACCUCUGAACAAAGCCAUUUCUUGUGUCUUGAAAUUUGAAGCUUCUGAAAGAAGUGUUAGAUGCUCAGAUUAAAGGUUUGGAUUUCUUGGUGAAUUGAAGACUUGGUUCUGUCUCUGGAUGUAUAAAUAGAUUGAUAAAAGGACUAACAGCCACCCUGGAACCAUUGAAAGUAUGGGACAUGCACAAGUAGAGUACACAUGGUUUUGUCUUCUAGAUAUGAUAGAUUGACAAGAAACUUAACCUAACGAGCACUAUCUUUUUGUUUUCUCAUGUCUGUAUAAUAAAUAAAGAGAAGAAGUGACCUACUCAGUUUUUAAUGUAUAAGUGUCCUGUGUGAACCUCGUUGUGUGUAGAUAUAAUCAAAAGAACAACUUAACAUGUGAAGGAGACUUGAUGUUCUGUUGUUUAGAAACUUCGGGUCCCUACUUUGAGGUCUUAUUGAUAAAAUCCAUUUAGACAACAGAGAUGAGGGAAUAUGAUCACCACAGAACAUGAAGAACAGAAACUUGCUAGUCUUUAUUAUUGACAAUAGCAUAUGUCUUAUCUAGACAAACAUUGAGAAAACAAGCCAUUGUGAAUUGCAUUUUCGUUCUUAGUUUAUUGUCCCACACUCAAUUAAUAAUCUCAUCAAAGAAAAUUGCAUUAAACUAAAACAGAGCCAUGUGAAACUUUGCUGUAGUCUGUCCUACACUUUAAGACCACAAGUUUCAAGGACUUUUCAGAGAGGUUUCAGUUCAUUCAUUAAUCUUUCUAUAUAUAUAAACACCACAUUACCCAUUCUUUCUAUCAUCAACAAGCAAUAUUUCAAAACUUGAAUCUUUUCAUAACAUCUUUAGAAGCUUCAUAAGGAUUCAAACUUUCAGAAGAAGAAAAAAAAAACUAGAAAUGGCUUUCGUGAGAAGUUUAUUAGGUGCAAAGAAGAUUCUUUGCCGCUCCGUAACAGCAGCUGCCCCAACAAGCAACAGGGCCGCCUCUGCGGCACCAAAAGGGUUUCUUGCGGUGUACGUAGGAGAGAUGCAAAAGAAGAGAUAUGUGGUGCCAAUCUCAUACUUGAGCCAGCCUUCGUUUCAAGCUCUUCUAAGAAAAUCCGAAGAAGAGUUUGGUUUCGAUCAUCCAAUGGGUGGCAUAACCAUCCCUUGUCCUGAAGAUACUUUCGUAGCUGUGACGUCUAGGCUUCAGUGAUAAUUAUCCAACAUAUUUUUCUUCAAGUUAGUUGUAAAUAGAGGAUGUUUUAUUUUUCUCUUUCUUCUUGAAAGAGUUGUUCUAAAGUUUUGAAAGUAAAUACCAUUGAAAAAAGAAAUAACAACACCAACUUAACAACUAUUUAAAUCAUACUUUAGUUGCUGUUAAAAUUAAACUACAUUAUCCGUGGCUCGAUUUAACCUAAUUAUCAUCCAUUGAAGUCUUUCAACUAACAAAGAAGACUAUGCAGUGCAAAGAUAUGGAAUUAAACGGAUCACAUUAAUAUUCGUCCCUUCUUUUUAGCAACCAAACAAAAUUUUGUUCAUUUAGGUUGUUAGCUAUCAGUGUAAGAGUUUGUUAAUUAAAUAAGUAUCAUGUUUAACAGUAAAGUUCAAUCUGCUAGAAAGUCGCAGUACAUGAAUCUUUGCCUUAGCUCUUACAUCUUAUUUAUAACCCACAAUCUGCAUAGAAAAUGUCAUUCUUGUUCUGUUUCUUGGGAUUUCCUCUGUUUCUCUUCCUAUAGACUAUCUACUGGUUAUACUAUAUAUCAGUCUUACAACUCACGUAACAGUGAGGGAACCAAAAUCACUGAUCAUCUGAUCAAAUUUAUCUUCCCUACUCUGUUUUUCCUUAAUCUAUCAAAUCUCAAAGACAUAAAUAUUUAUUGUUCUCCUGAAAUGAUGAAUUAAGAGACACUUGUGUAUUUUUUGCUUAGGAACUACUUAAGCAAUGAAGAGCUGUUAAUCAAUCAAACAUCCAUUUCUUGAUUAAUAUCUCAAAUAGAAAAUCAUGUGAAAUGCUGUUAGUGUAGACAACAAGUUUCAACUCUAUUUCAUUGAUUCCUUUGUAUAUCGAGAAACAAAACAAACUCUUCAUAUCAUUAACACUCGAACAAUCCAAAAAAAAUUCAAGAUGAAUAUAUAUAUUUAAUGCUUUGACAACAAAAAUUGACAAUUCACAUUGAGCUUUGUAGUCUCUUGAACAACUCUUUUCUCACAUAGAACCAAUGAAAAAGGUUGAUAUAUUUACAUUGAAUCAUUAAAUCUCUAACUCGGGCUACAUAACGUUAGAUCUCUCUUCUCUUGGGAUCACUUUCCCUUUAGCCGAGAAGUUACAGUGAUGAAGGCAUCUUCAGGACAAGGAAUCGUUAAGCCACCCGUCGGAUGAUCGAACCCAUACUCUUCUUCAGAUUUACUGAGCAGAUCUUGAAACGAAGGCUGGUUCAAAUACGAGACAGGAACUACAUAUCUCUUCUUCUGGACCUGAUCCUCACCAACGUACACCGCAAGAAACCCUUUUGGUGUAGUAGCCGUUACAGAGCGGCUCAGGAUCUUCUUUGCACCCAAUAGACUUCUCACCAAAGCCAUUUCUAUAUUUUUUUUCUUGUCUGAAAGUAUGAAUUCUUUUGAAGCUUUUGAAGAGAUGUAUCAAAAGAUUUAAGUUAAUGGAUUGCUGAUUGUUGGUUGAUGAUUGAAAGAGUGGGAUAUGUGUAUCAUAUAUAGAGAAGUGAAUGAGCUGAGGAGUCUCCGAAAAAUCUUUGAAACUCGUGGUCUUGAAGCGUUGGACAGACAAGAGCAGAGUUGCACAUGGUUCUGUCUUUAGCAUUUUGAAACUUCUAGGUUAAUGCAAUUUGUCUUGAUUGAUUGAUGAUGCCUUUGUCGUCCUGUCUUAUCUCCCAACAAAAUUUGGCUCCGACAGUGACUUCACCCCGAACCAAACACUGACCCUUCUGAUUAAAACCUAUCAUAAUCUUCUUUGAGUAACAACUGUCAAGUGUGAUCCUAGUUGUGGAUAUAAUCAAAGAACAACUUAAGUUGUGAUAGAGACUUGAUGUUCUGUUGUUGAGAGACUCCAGGUCCCUACUUUGAGGUCUUAUUAAUUAAAUCCAUUUAGACCACAGAGCUGUGAGAAUAUAUGAUCACCACAGCAACUUGCUGGCCUUUAUUAUUGACAAUGGCAUACGUCAUAUGAAAAAACAUUGAGAAAACAAACCCUUGUGCAUUGCAAAUGGAGUAUGUUUUUAAUGUAUUGUCCUACACUCAAUUAAUUAUAUCAUCAACCAAGACAAAUUGCAUUAAACUCAACCUUUCCAAAUGCUAAAGACAGAACCAUGUGCAACUCUGUUCUCUUCUUCUGUCCAACGCCUCAAGACCACAAGUUUCAAAGAUUUUUCAGAGAGUCUUCAACUCAUUCACUGAUCUAUAUAUAAUACACAUAUCCCACUCUUUUCAUCAUCAACCAGCAAGCAGCAAUCCAAUAACUUGAAUCUUUUCAUACAUCUCUUCCAAAGAGUUUAAAAUUUCAGACAAAUGGCUUUGGUUAGAAGUUUAUUGGGUGCAAAAAAGAUUCUUGGUCGUUCCGUAACAGCAACAGCUUCUACAAGCAAAAGAGCAACCAUGGCGGCACCACCAAAAGGGUUUCUUGCGGUGUACGUUGGAGAGAGCCAGAAGAAGAGAUAUGUGGUGCCAAUCUCAUACUUGAGCCAGCCCUUAUUUCAAGCUCUCCUCAGCAGAUCUGAAGAAGAGUUUGGGUUUGAUCAUCCAAUGGGUGGCUUAACUAUCCCUUGUCCUGAAGAUACUUUCAUCAAUGUUACUUCUCGGCUUCAUUGAUGAUUAUCCAUCAUAUUGUUCAUCUAAUUAGAGAUAGACUUGUACCUUGUUAAUAGAUGAUUUUUUUCUCUUCUUCUUGAAAGAGUUGUUCUAUAAUUUUUUGAAAGUGAAUGACAUAGACACAAUUCGCU
This 5326-nucleotide long non-coding RNA is filed under the name Brassica napus (rape). Its description in RNAcentral is "long non-coding RNA (BNAP_LNC010630)". The record is from RNAcentral. Lineage: Eukaryota; Viridiplantae; Streptophyta; Magnoliopsida; Brassicales; Brassicaceae.